This 1466-nucleotide unclassified non-coding RNA is filed under the name Athalia rosae (coleseed sawfly). Its description in RNAcentral is "misc RNA ENSAEAG00005010141.1". The record is from RNAcentral. Lineage: Eukaryota; Metazoa; Arthropoda; Insecta; Hymenoptera; Athaliidae.
AAUAUUGGAAGAAAAUUGUGUGACCAUUUGACACUCGCGUACGUCACGCGUAAAUGCUAUCACAAUUCUACGCAUUGCUACACUAGACACUGCUACAAGCACGAUAAUCUAACAGAUAGAUACAGUAUACGAUGAUUACGUCGGAAAGACUUUUUGACAAUCUAUUAUUAUCAGUAUCUGAGUUUGUCACGAUAUGCAUCUUGUGAAACUAAAAUUAAACAAUUUCUGAUUUAAUGGAGAGAUUAUUUACGCGUACAUUCGUACUUCCGUUCGUUACGAAUCUAUUGAGGAAAUAACUAAUGCGAUUACUAACCUCAAAACAGAAGCAACUGGUUACGGUCUUACCAAGGUUUCACGAUGAUCGAGUAAGAGUUUUUGGAAUUGAUGUUUAUCCGGUACAACUACAACUGGAUUCUCUUCCCACUGGGCCCACUGUUCUAACUCCUACAAAUAAGGAAACUGUUUGAUGUUGUCUAUUCAUGGAUUCACCAGAAUAAUUUCUUACUAGGGGCAAUGCAGAAAUAUCAAUCAAUGCUGAUAGUUCUUACCACAUGAUUAUUAACAUUGUUGGGCACAACGCCAACCGCUAAAAGUGGUAUAGAUUCACAGGAGGACCUCCGCCGUCUCCGAAAACAACACAUAGCUCGUCUGAAGAUCCCCAAUAUCAAGAGAAGCAACGCCUUGAUUCUAUUCAUUGCAAAUUCGAUGGCCAUUAUGCACUCUUAAUCUGAAUUCAACCUGAAGUUUAUCCCAGUCAGAGACCAAUUACAACCGACGUGUCAACGUCUGUGCUACAUACGUACGAACUCUGGUAGGUAUGAGUUAUGGGAAUAACGUGUGUUUGAUAAGAUUCAGAAUCAUGUAGUAAUAAAUAUUUUAUAUUCUGUACAUACACAUCGCGCAUUAGUACGUGGUCUACAGCCAGUAUAUUUUUUUUCUGCUCUUCUAUACUUCACGAACGGCGAACGGUUGGUUUCCUUCAGAUUUAUGAUCAAUAACUUGAUGUAUUAAACCAAUCACCAAAUUAAUAAAUUUCGGCUAAUCUUCGAGCUAAUCAUAUACCGCUCACACUCAUGACGGUAUAAUCCGAAGACGCCGAUGUUGAUUUAUAUGGCAAUACACUGUGUCACAUGAAAGAGUGAGUCGAUAAAAAUGGGAGAAGCAGUAGUUGAACGUAACUUGGAACUUCAACUACAGAUGGCAAAGCACAACAUUUCUGAGGAACAUUAUUGCUCUCUGUUGCGAAAGGCGCAUCAAUUCAAACUAAAUUACAAGGAGCGCGGGUAGUGCAGAUCCUUGGAAAUUGUAGGACGUAAAUGGAGUAUUAUCUGUUGUAUAACGUUCACACAGAUUACACUUCGUGCCUACUAAUGUGCAAUCUGCAUUGGUAGUGAAAUGCUGCUCCAGAUAUGAUCUUACAGUUGGAUUUUAUUAUUAUCUAAGUUGUGAAUGGUACAGAUUUGAGG